GGCCGGGGGAAUUCGAUUCAGGCCUAACACAUGCAAGUCGAGCGGUAGAGAGAAGCUUGCUUCUCUUGAAAGAGGCGGACGGGUGAGUAAUGCCUAGGAAUCUGCCUGGUAGUGGGGGAUAACGUUCGGAAACGGACGCUAAUACCGCAUACGUCCUACGGGAGAAAGCAGGGGACCUUCGGGCCUUGCGCUAUCAGAUGAGCCUAGGUCGGAUUAGCUAGUUGGUGAGGUAAUGGCUCACCAAGGCUACGAUCCGUAACUGGUCUGAGAGGAUGAUCAGUCACACUGGAACUGAGACACGGUCCAGACUCCUACGGGAGGCAGCAGUGGGGAAUAUUGGACAAUGGG
Molecule: ribosomal RNA, 348 nt
Filed under: uncultured bacterium
Lineage: Bacteria
Description: bacterial SSU rRNA
Rfam family: Bacterial small subunit ribosomal RNA
Source: RNAcentral